RNAcentral lists this ribosomal RNA (156 nucleotides) under soil fungal sp. SB9-3. RNAcentral describes it as "5.8S ribosomal RNA". It matches the Rfam family "5.8S ribosomal RNA". Rfam says of the family: 5.8S ribosomal RNA (5.8S rRNA) is a component of the large subunit of the eukaryotic ribosome. Lineage: Eukaryota; Fungi. The record is from RNAcentral.
AACUUUCAACAACGGAUCUCUUGGUUCUGGCAUCGAUGAAGAACGCAGCAAAAUGCGAUAAGUAAUGUGAAUUGCAAAAAAAAAUGAAUCAUCGAAUCUUUGAACGCACAUUGCGCCCGCUGGUAUUCCGGCGGGCAUGCCUGUUCGAGCGUCAUU